AACGUAGGAGGCAAGCGUUAUCCGAAUUUACUGGGCGUAAAGCGUGUGCAGGCGGCUUGAUAAGUUGGGUGUGAAAUCUCCCGGCUCAACUGGGAGAGGUCGCUCAAGACUGUCAGGCUGGAGGGCAGUAGAGGGUGGUGGAAUUCCCGGUGUAGUGGUGAAAUGCGUAGAUAUCGGGAGGAACACCUGUGGCGAAAGCGGCCACCUGGACUGUACCUGACGCUGAGACACGAAAGCUAGGGGAGCGAACGG
Molecule: ribosomal RNA, 252 nt
Filed under: uncultured bacterium
Lineage: Bacteria
Description: partial 16S ribosomal RNA
Rfam family: Bacterial small subunit ribosomal RNA
Source: RNAcentral